This 255-nucleotide ribosomal RNA is filed under the name uncultured bacterium. RNAcentral describes it as "partial 16S ribosomal RNA". It matches the Rfam family "Bacterial small subunit ribosomal RNA", at positions 524 to 776 of the family's 1533-position model. The record is from RNAcentral.
UACGGGGGGGAGCAAGCGUUGUUCGGAUUUACUGGGCGUAAAGGGCGCGUAGGCGGUCAGCACAAGUCAGUUGUGAAAUCUCCGGGCUUAACUCGGAAAGGUCAACUGAUACUGUGCGACUAGAGUGCAGAAGGGGCAACUGGAAUUCUCGGUGUAGCGGUGAAAUGCGUAGAUAUUGGGAGGAACACCAGUGGCGAAGGCGGCUCACUGGACCGGUACUGACGCUGAGGAGCGAAAGCGUGGGGAGCAAACAGG